Long non-coding RNA from Odontomachus brunneus, 1327 nucleotides. RefSeq lists it as uncharacterized. The transcript has 2 exons. NCBI's taxonomy places the organism in Eukaryota, Metazoa, Arthropoda, Insecta, Hymenoptera, Formicidae. The record is from RefSeq and is a predicted model, not a curated record.
ACUUCCAAUGUAGACGUCCCUUAAUUCUUACGACUUAUUUCUUAUUCCAAGCUUACUCCACAUAUUGUAUACGACGCUUUAACGUCCGUCUACAAUGGGACAGAAAGUAGGCAGUAAAACCUAACGCCAAUCCCAUUGUAGACGGACUUUUAAAGGCCUUUGCACGUAGAAAAUUUUUAACCGUAACUAUAAAGCCCAUUCUUCAAUUGCGUAAGCGUAGUCGUGACCAUAAAGCGUCUUCUACAAUGGCAGUAGGAGUACUGGAUGAAGGGAGUAGUUGUAAGACGUAGACUGUAGGUUUAAGGCUUCCUUACGCCCGAGUGUCUACAAUAGCGUGUAGCAAGAAUUACAAUGAGCCAAUCAGCAUUGACAAAAGUUAUCUAUUUGUACAACGUGAAAACAUUACGAUAUAGGGUAAAUGUAUCAAUGCCCGGAUAUGUACCCAUCUCCGGACAUUGUUAUUAUUUUUAUAUUUGAAUAUGAAUAUUUCAACUUUCAACGUACAAUACAUACAUAUUGGUAUACAUACAUUUAAUAUUUAUAUUUAAUGUACAUUGAACGAUGAAAUAUUUAGAGAAAUAUUCAAAAUAAUAAGAACGGAAUUAAGUACAUGUCCAAGCAUUGGUACAUUUGUAGUAGCUAAAUAUUGAAGAAUGGAAAGAACAGUAAAAUAAAAAACAGUAAAUCAUUUAUAUAUUGUAAUAUACCUAUGAGACAUUCAAGUUGAACAUUCUUAGGUACUACUCCUAGUGCAAAUCCUAUGGCACUCAGCAUGGGCUUAAUAUCAGAAAAUGCAUCACUGACUAUUGCUGGCGGAACAUUUGGUGGUGGAACCGUUAUUGCUUUACCAAUCUUUGCUGCAAGGUCUGUCAAUCCUUUACUCUGUUCGAUUAAAGUCUUAUUGAUAGUAUCUACUUCUUGCCGUUUUUUGUUCGCAAAUGAAUCAGGUGUGGGCACUUUGCGCUUAGUAUUAAUGCUGGAUAUAGCUUUUUGCGCCUGUACAACUGUAUUAUUACUUCCAAAGUCUGAUCUAACUGAAGGUGAUGUUGAAGGAGAUGAUGUAGGAAGUGGCAAAAAGGAGUUUUCAGAUGUAUCUGUGAAACUCUUGUCAGUACCUAAAAAUGUAACAGACGAAUACUUCAGAUUAUGUUACAACAAACUGUGGACAUGCAAUAAGUCUUUUAAUCUCCUUACCUAUAAGAUUUGUUAAUGAAUCUGAAUUCCAACUGGACAUGUCUGAACUUGCUGCAGCAGACUGAGAAGAGAAAGGAUAAAUCGUGUGCACUGUCAUAUGACCAUCAGAAGGAGCAGAUGUAAAUGGUAAUGA